Molecule: non-coding RNA, 230 nt
Organism: Thamnophis sirtalis
Lineage: Eukaryota; Metazoa; Chordata; Lepidosauria; Squamata; Natricidae
Source: RefSeq, a predicted model, not a curated record
AGAAAAAAGCACCGAGAAAGAACUGAUCGAACCCAUCCUGGAUAUUGAAGACCUUGUUAAAAAUGGAAACAAACACAGAGUUUGCCCUUAUUAUCUUUCUCGGAGUCUGAAACAGCAAGCCGACAUCAUUUUUAUGCCUUAUAACUACCUGCUGGACUCAAAGAAUCGAAAAGCUCAUAACCUCGACUUGAAAGGGGCUGUAGUAAUACUUGAUGAAGCUCACAAUGUGG